AACGAACGCUGGCGGCAUGCCUAAUACAUGCAAGUCGAACGAGAUCUUCGGAUCUAGUGGCGCACGGGUGCGUAACGCGUGGGAAUCUGCCCUUGGGUUCGGAAUAACUUCUGGAAACGGAAGCUAAUACCGGAUGAUGACGUAAGUCCAAAGAUUUAUCGCCCAAGGAUGAGCCCGCGUAGGAUUAGCUAGUUGGUGGGGUAAAGGCCCACCAAGGCGACGAUCCGUAGCUGGUCUGAGAGGAUGAUCCGCCACACUGGGACUGAGACACGGCCCAGACUCCUACGCGAGGAAGCAGUAGGGAAUAUUGCACGAUCGGCGAAAGCCUGAUCCAGCCAUGCCGCGUGAGUGAUGAAAGCCUUAGGGUUGUAAAGCUCUUUUACCCGGGAUGAUAAUGACGGUACCGGGAGAAUAAGCUCCGGCUAACUCCGUG
RNAcentral lists this ribosomal RNA (433 nucleotides) under uncultured bacterium. Its description in RNAcentral is "partial 16S ribosomal RNA". It matches the Rfam family "Bacterial small subunit ribosomal RNA", at positions 29 to 507 of the family's 1533-position model. The record is from RNAcentral.